This 1372-nucleotide ribosomal RNA is filed under the name uncultured bacterium. RNAcentral's name for it is "bacterial SSU rRNA". It matches the Rfam family "Bacterial small subunit ribosomal RNA", at positions 28 to 1381 of the family's 1533-position model. The record is from RNAcentral.
GAUGAACGCUGGCGGCGUGCCUAAUACAUGCAAGUCGAGCGAACGGACGAGAAGCUUGCUUCCCUGAUGUUAGCGGCGGACGGGUGAGUAACACGUGGAUAACCUACCUAUAAGACUGGGAUAACUUCGGGAAACCGGAGCCAAUACCGGAUAAUAUUUUGAACCGCAUGGUUCAAAAGUGAAAGACGGUCUUGCUGUCACUUAUAGAUGGAUCCGCGCUGCAUUAGCUAGGUGGUAAGGCCCCGGCUUACCAAGGCAACGAUGCAUAGCCGACCUGACAGGGUGAUCCGCCACACUGGAACUGAGACCCGGUCCAGACUCCUACGGGAGGCAGCAGUAGGGAAUCCUCCGCAGAGAGCUAUUGUCUGACCGAGCAACGCCUCUUGAGUGAUGAAGGUCGUCGGAUCGUACAACUCUGAUAUUAGGGAAGAACAUAUGUCUCAGUAAGUGUGGCCCUCUUGACCGUUCCUAAUCUGAAGGCGUCGGGCAACUACGCGGCAGCAGUAGUUGUUCAUAGCUGCGUGGCUACUCUUAUCCGGAAUUCCCGCCCCUAAAGCGCGCGUAGCGGUUUUUUAAGUCUGAUGUGAAAGCCCACGGCUCAACCUUGGAGGGUCAUUGGAAACUGGAAAACUUGAGUGCAGAAGAGGAAAGUGGAAUUCCAUGUGUAGCGGUGAAAUGCGCAGAGAUAUGGAGGAACACCAGUGGCGAAGGCGACUUUCUGGUCUGUAACUGACGCUGAUGUGCGAAAGCGUGGGGAUCAAACAGGAUUAGAUACCCUGGUAGUCCACGCCGUAAACGAUGAGUGCUAAGUGUUAGGGGGUUUCCGCCCCUUAGUGCUGCAGCUAACGCAUUAAGCACUCCGCCUGGGGAGUACGACCGCAAGGUUGAAACUCAAAGGAAUUGACGGGGACCCGCACAAGCGGUGGAGCAUGUGGUUUAAUUCGAAGCAACGCGAAGAACCUUACCAAAUCUUGACAUCCUUUGACAACUCUAGAGAUAGAGCCUUCCCCUUCGGGGGGCAAAGUGACAGGUGGUGCAUGGUUGUCGUCAGCUCGUGUCGUGAGAUGUUGGGUUAAGUCCCGCAACGAGCGCAACCCUUAAGCUUAGUUGCCAUCAUUAAGUUGGGCACUCUAAGUUGACUGCCGGUGACAAACCGGAGGAAGGUGGGGAUGACGUCAAAUCAUCAUGCCCCUUAUGAUUUGGGCUACACACGUGCUACAAUGGACAAUACAAAGGGCAGCGAAACCGCGAGGUCAAGCAAAUCCCAUAAAGUUGUUCUCAGUUCGGAUUGUAGUCUGCAACUCGACUACAUGAAGCUGGGAUCGCUAGUAAUCGUAGAUCAGCAUGCUACGGUGAAUACGUUCCCGGGUCU